AUGUUUUCGUCUAGCAGGGGUCAGAGAGAAAACAUCAGAAGCAGCACCUGGGGACGGAGGCACGGCCGGAGAGGCAACUCACCAUGCACACACACAGGUCGGGAGCGUUGCCGAAAGCAAUGUUCGCAUGACCGGACCCCCGUCGGAGAUGGAGCCGCCGGACCGGAAGGUGAAGUGGACGUUGCCGGAGAUGGUCUUCACCAAGCCAGCGCCACAAAGAACGACGAAGAGGUCGUUAUCACCACCUGUUGUUCGCCUCGUCACGACGGUUCGGCCAAGACGACGACACGGAGCACGCCACGAUGCCGCCCACCGUCGAGGUCGCCAGGUCGAUGCCCCGGAGGUCGACGCCACGGUGGCCACCCCACUCAUCACCGCGCGAUGAGGACGACGCGUCACCGGAACUCAUCUUCACCAAGCCCGCGCUAUGGAUGCUGA
This 438-nucleotide ribosomal RNA is filed under the name Triticum aestivum (bread wheat). Its description in RNAcentral is "partial small subunit ribosomal RNA". Lineage: Eukaryota; Viridiplantae; Streptophyta; Magnoliopsida; Poales; Poaceae. The record is from RNAcentral.